AUACGGAGGAUGCAAGCGUUAUCCGGAUUUAUUGGGUUUAAAGGGUGCGUAGGCGGACUUUUAAGCGUGAGGUGAAAUGCGCGGGCUCAACCUGUGAACUGCCUCGCGAACUGGGAGUCUGGAAUGUCCGUGCCGUGGGAGGAAUGUGUGGUGUAGCGGUGAAAUGCAUAGAGAUCACACAGAACACCGAUUGCGAAGGCAUCUCACGAACGGAUGAUUGACGCUGAGGCACGAAAGCGUGGGGAUCAAACAGGAUUAGAUACCCUGGUAGUCCACGCAGUAAACGAUGAUAACUAACCGCUGGGCAUUCGUGUUCAGUGGCCAAGCGAAAGCGAUAAGUUAUCCACCUGGGGAGUACGACCGCAAGGUUGAAACUCAAAGGAAUUGGCGGGG
RNAcentral lists this ribosomal RNA (393 nucleotides) under uncultured bacterium. RNAcentral describes it as "partial 16S ribosomal RNA". It matches the Rfam family "Bacterial small subunit ribosomal RNA", at positions 523 to 918 of the family's 1533-position model. The record is from RNAcentral.